This 301-nucleotide ribosomal RNA is filed under the name uncultured bacterium. RNAcentral describes it as "partial 16S ribosomal RNA". It matches the Rfam family "Bacterial small subunit ribosomal RNA", at positions 509 to 809 of the family's 1533-position model. The record is from RNAcentral.
CAGUAGCCGCGGUAAUACGUAGGGUGCAAGCGUUAAUCGGAAUUACUGGGCGUAAAGCGUGCGCAGGCGGUUUGUUAAGACAGAUGUGAAAUCCCCGGGCUUAACCUGGGAACUGCAUUUGUGACUGGCAAGCUAGAGUAUGGCAGAGGGGGGUGGAAUUCCGCGUGUAGCAGUGAAAUGCGUAGAUAUGCGGAGGAACACCGAUGGCGAAGGCAGCCCCCUGGGCCAAUACUGACGCUCAUGCACGAAAGCGUGGGGAGCAAACAGGAUUAGAUACCCCGGUAGUCCCUGUCUCUUAUAA